UUUGGAAGAAAAUUGAUCCUGGCUCAGGACGAACGCUGGCGGCGUGCCUAAUACAUGCAAGUCGAGCGGACAGAUGGGAGCUUGCUCCCUGAUGUUAGCGGCGGACGGGUGAGUAACACGUGGGUAACCUGCCUGUAAGACUGGGAUAACUCCGGGAAACCGGGGCUAAUACCGGAUGGUUGUUUGAACCGCAUGGUUCAAACAUAAAAGGUGGCUUCGGCUACCACUUACAGAUGGACCCGCGGCGCAUUAGCUAGUUGGUGAGGUAACGGCUCACCAAGGCAACGAUGCGUAGCCGACCUGAGAGGGUGAUCGGCCACACUGGGACUGAGACACGGCCCAGACUCCUACGGGAGGCAGCAGUAGGGAAUCUUCCGCAAUGGACGAAAGUCUGACGGAGCAACGCCGCGUGAGUGAUGAAGGUUUUCGGAUCGUAAAGCUCUGUUGUUAGGGAAGAACAAGUACCGUUCGAAUAGGGCGGUACCUCGACG
This 491-nucleotide ribosomal RNA is filed under the name Bacillus subtilis. RNAcentral describes it as "bacterial SSU rRNA". It matches the Rfam family "Bacterial small subunit ribosomal RNA", at positions 1 to 484 of the family's 1533-position model. The record is from RNAcentral. Lineage: Bacteria; Bacillati; Bacillota; Bacilli; Caryophanales; Bacillaceae.